This 255-nucleotide ribosomal RNA is filed under the name uncultured bacterium. RNAcentral describes it as "partial 16S ribosomal RNA". It matches the Rfam family "Bacterial small subunit ribosomal RNA", at positions 524 to 776 of the family's 1533-position model. The record is from RNAcentral.
UACAGAGGGUGCGAGCGUUGUUCGGAAUUACUGGGCGUAAAGCGCGCGCAGGCGGCCCUUUAAGUCCGUCGGUCAAAUGCCGGGGCUCAACCCCGAUGCAUGCCGAGGAUACUGGAGGGCUGGAGACACGUAGAGGCAAGCGGAAUUCCGGGUGUAGCGGUGGAAUGCGUAGAGAUCCGGAAGAACACCGGAGGCGAAGGCGGCUUGCUGGGCGUGAUCUGACGCUGAGGAGCGAAAGCGUGGGGAGCGAACAGG